Non-coding RNA from Hemicordylus capensis (graceful crag lizard), 72 nucleotides. The record is from the annotation of a RefSeq genome assembly. Lineage: Eukaryota; Metazoa; Chordata; Lepidosauria; Squamata; Cordylidae.
GGGGAUGUAGCUCAGUGGAAAAGCAUCUGUUUGGUGUGCAUAAGAUCCCAGGUUCAAUCCCUGGCAUCUCCA